AACCCAUGAUUAGGGCACCUUCUCAACAGAUCUUUGAAUCUCUCUCAUAGAUCAUAUAAUGUCUCCAAAUCAAUUUCAGAAAAAGAAGAGAUGUUCCUCAACUGAGCAC
Molecule: non-coding RNA, 109 nt
Organism: Gossypium raimondii (Peruvian cotton)
Lineage: Eukaryota; Viridiplantae; Streptophyta; Magnoliopsida; Malvales; Malvaceae
Source: Rfam